RNAcentral lists this unclassified non-coding RNA (504 nucleotides) under Hevea brasiliensis (rubber tree). Lineage: Eukaryota; Viridiplantae; Streptophyta; Magnoliopsida; Malpighiales; Euphorbiaceae. The record is from RNAcentral.
CUCCAAUGGUGGGGGAAUUACAGAUUGUGGAGCCAUAUAGUUGUUCUCUGAGCCCCUAUUGGAUGAUUGCGGCCUGGUAUUUCCUCUGUUAGUUGGCCUCUUAGAAUCCAAAGCUUGAGUUGACCAUGCAUUUGCAGACAUCCUUCCUGAUCCACCAUUAUUUCGCAUGCCUUGCUCAUGUCUCACAUCGGGGUGCCCCCCUGCUUUAGGAUUAGAAUUCUGAAAACCCCAGGGUUUUGCAGCACUGCUUCCAGCUCUGUUCUUAGGCUUCCGUGACAUAACCUCCCAUGCCCCAUCAUCCAAACUAAUGUCUACCACACCUUGACCCAACUGCUCAGCCUUAGGGCUAGAGACUUCUGAUGCAUUUUUCCCCCUGGAUGAUGCAUUAUUACUACCACCAGCAGUUGAAGCCCUUCCACCCCCACCUCUUGAACUCAUUUUUGCAACUAAUGUAUGCUGAAAACUAUGGACUUCACGUUCACUGUGAAAUCCGCCGUAGAUGAA